AUUGAACGCUGGCGGCAGGCCUAACACAUGCAAGUCGAACGGUAACAGGAAGAAGCUUGCUUCUUUGCUGACGAGUGGCGGACGGGUGAGUAAUGUCUGGGAAACUGCCUGAUGGAGGGGGAUAACUACUGGAAACGGUAGCUAAUACCGCAUAACGUCGCAAGACCAAAGAGGGGGACCUUCGGGCCUCUUGCCAUCGGAUGUGCCCAGAUGGGAUUAGCUUGUUGGUGGGGUAACGGCUCACCAAGGCGACGAUCCCUAGCUGGUCUGAGAGGAUGACCAGCCACACUGGAACUGAGACACGGUCCAGACUCCUACGGGAGGCAGCAGUGGGGAAUAUUGCACAAUGGGCGCAAGCCUGAUGCAGCCAUGCCGCGUGUAUGAAGAAGGCCUUCGGGUUGUAAAGUGCUUUCAGCGGGGAGGAAGGGAGUAAAGUUAAUACCUUUGCUCAUUGACGUUACCCGAAGAAGAAGCACCGGCUAACUCCGUG
RNAcentral lists this ribosomal RNA (490 nucleotides) under uncultured bacterium. Its description in RNAcentral is "partial 16S ribosomal RNA". It matches the Rfam family "Bacterial small subunit ribosomal RNA", at positions 30 to 507 of the family's 1533-position model. The record is from RNAcentral.